CUUGCUUCUCUUGAGAGCGGCGGACGGGUGAGUAAUGCCUAGGAAUCUGCCUGGUAGUGGGGGAUAACGUUCGGAAACGGACGCUAAUACCGCAUACGUCCUACGGGAGAAAGCAGGGGACCUUCGGGCCUUGCGCUAUCAGAUGAGCCUAGGUCGGAUUAGCUAGUUGGUGGGGUAAUGGCUCACCAAGGCGACGAUCCGUAACUGGUCUGAGAGGAUGAUCAGUCACACUGGAACUGAGACACGGUCCAGACUCCUACGGGAGGCAGCAGUGGGGAAUAUUGGACAAUGGGCGAAAGCCUGAUCCAGCCAUGCCGCGUGUGUGAAGAAGGUCUUCGGAUUGUAAAGCACUUUAAGUUGGGAGGAAGGGUUGUAGAUUAAUACUCUGCAAUUUUGACGUUACCGACAGAAUAAGCACCGGCUAACUCUGUGCCAGCAGCCGCGGUAAUACAGAGGGUGCAAGCGUUAAUCGGAAUUACUGGGCGUAAAGCGCGCGUAGGUGGUUUGUUAAAGUUGGAUGUGAAAUCCCCGGGCUCAACCUGGGGAACUGCAUUCAAAACUGACUGACUAGAGUAUGGUAGAGGGUGGUGGAAUUUCCUGUGUAGCGGUGAAAUGCGUAGAUAUAUGAAGGAACACCCAGUGGCGAAGGGCGACCACCUG
This 660-nucleotide ribosomal RNA is filed under the name Pseudomonas sp. RNAcentral describes it as "bacterial SSU rRNA". It matches the Rfam family "Bacterial small subunit ribosomal RNA", at positions 79 to 731 of the family's 1533-position model. The record is from RNAcentral. Lineage: Bacteria; Pseudomonadati; Pseudomonadota; Gammaproteobacteria; Pseudomonadales; Pseudomonadaceae.